GGGUCUCCCACAAAGAGGUCGCUUCCUGCAGGGUCAAGGACAAGGUCAGGGAGGCCAUGCUCCCUUCCACAUGUGUCCCAGGCCCUUGAUCUUGGACCCUGGACAUCUGGUGUGU
Molecule: microRNA precursor, 115 nt
Organism: Equus caballus (horse)
Lineage: Eukaryota; Metazoa; Chordata; Mammalia; Perissodactyla; Equidae
Product: eca-mir-8993-2
Source: Ensembl